UAAUGCAUCGGAACGUGCCCAGAAGUGGGGGAUAGCCCGGCGAAAGCCGGAUUAAUACCGCAUGAGACCUGAGGGUGAAAGCGGGGAUCGCAAGACCUCGCGCUUUUGGAGCGGCCGAUGUCAGAUUAGCUAGUUGGUGGGGUAAAGGCCUACCAAGGCGACGAUCUGUAGCUGGUCUGAGAGGACGACCAGCCACACUGGGACUGAGACACGGCCCAGACUCCUACGGGAGGCAGCAGUGGGGAAUUUUGGACAAUGGGCGCAAGCCUGAUCCAGCCAUGCCGCGUGCGGGAAGAAGGCCUUCGGGUUGUAAACCGCUUUUGUCAGGGAAGAAACGCUCUGGGCUAAUACCCUGGGGUAAUGACGGUACCUGAAGAAUAAGCACCGGCUAACUACGUGCCAGCCGCCGCGGUAAUAC
This 418-nucleotide ribosomal RNA is filed under the name uncultured Leptothrix sp. Its description in RNAcentral is "bacterial SSU rRNA". It matches the Rfam family "Bacterial small subunit ribosomal RNA", at positions 111 to 526 of the family's 1533-position model. The record is from RNAcentral. Lineage: Bacteria; Pseudomonadati; Pseudomonadota; Betaproteobacteria; Burkholderiales; Sphaerotilaceae.